UGAAAUCAAUUUCAUGGG
Molecule: non-coding RNA, 18 nt
Filed under: Mus musculus (house mouse)
Lineage: Eukaryota; Metazoa; Chordata; Mammalia; Rodentia; Muridae
Source: RNAcentral